RNAcentral lists this unclassified non-coding RNA (284 nucleotides) under uncultured fungus. Its description in RNAcentral is "partial contains small subunit ribosomal RNA, internal transcribed spacer 1, and 5.8S ribosomal RNA". The stretch from base 1 to 73 matches the Rfam family "Eukaryotic small subunit ribosomal RNA", at positions 1759 to 1831 of the family's 1831-position model. Lineage: Eukaryota; Fungi. The record is from RNAcentral.
UCAAACUUGGUCAUUUAGAGGAAGUAAAAGUCGUAACAAGGUCUCCGUUGGUGAACCAGCGGAGGGAUCAUUACCGAGUGUUACAGCUCCCAAACCUUCUGUGAACCAUACCAAACGUUGCUUCGGCGGGUUCGCCCCGGUGCCCACGCGCGCCGGACCCAGGCGCCCGCCGGAGGCCCCAAACUCCUGCUUCAACCAGUUUUCUCUCUGAGUGGCACAAGCAAAUUCGAAUCAAAACUUUCAACAACGGAUCUCUUGGUUCUGGCAUCGAUGAAGAACGCAGC